RNAcentral lists this ribosomal RNA (492 nucleotides) under uncultured bacterium. RNAcentral's name for it is "partial 16S ribosomal RNA". It matches the Rfam family "Bacterial small subunit ribosomal RNA", at positions 29 to 507 of the family's 1533-position model. The record is from RNAcentral.
AGUGAACGCUGGCGGUAGGCCUAACACAUGCAAGUCGAACGGCAGCACAGUAAGAGCUUGCUCUUACGGGUGGCGAGUGGCGGACGGGUGAGGAAUACAUCGGAAUCUACUUUUUCGUGGGGGAUAACGUAGGGAAACUUACGCUAAUACCGCAUACGAUCUACGGGUGAAAGCAGGGGAUCUUCGGACCUUGCGCGAUUGAAUGAGCCGAUGUCGGAUUAGCUAGUUGGCGGGGUAAAGGCCCACCAAGGCGACGAUCCGUAGCUGGACUGAGAGGAUGAUCAGCCACACUGGAACUGAGACACGGUCCAGACUCCUACGGGAGGCAGCAGUGGGGAAUAUUGGACAAUGGGCGCAAGCCUGAUCCAGCCAUACCGCGUGGGUGAAGAAGGCCUUCGGGUUGUAAAGCCCUUUUGUUGGGAAAGAAAAGCAGCAGGUUAAUACCCCGCUGUUCUGACGGUACCCAAAGAAUAAGCACCGGCUAACUUCGUG